This is a long non-coding RNA of Tigriopus californicus, 529 nucleotides long. RefSeq lists it as uncharacterized. The transcript is spliced from 2 exons. The record is from RefSeq and is a predicted model, not a curated record. Lineage: Eukaryota; Metazoa; Arthropoda; Copepoda; Harpacticoida; Harpacticidae.
UGUGUUCCUUAAAAGCUGGAAAUAGUGACGAAGGCUGGUGUUUAAAAGCGUUCAAAAAGCAAGAUAGUGCGUGUUCAUUGAAGGGUUGAUAACCUGUUGUCCACGCUUGGAUCGCCAGGGUUGUUGUUAUUGGUUGGGUGUCAUCUGGCCGUCAUUCCCGAGAUAUUCCCCUCCUGACUUCUAAUUUCAAGACCAAGGCGUAUUCAUGCGUUAUUGUGCCCGUCAGAGAGGAGCGAUAAAAUAUGCAGAAGGUCAAUAGCGCAGCCAGCUCUGACAACCAUGAAUCAAAAAGCCAUUGCUCAUUCCACGGGACAUUACAAGUUUGCCAUGGUCUGACCUCUUCCUCCUCGACCAAUGUCGGAGGACCAUAUAUAUUUACAUGCAUCUUCCAAUCCCUCUUCAUUGAACCCAUCAGAACCCUUUCAAUCCAUACCUUUCCAGCAUUGCUGGAUGGAUGAGUGCACUUGGUACUAAACAUGUUUGGCUUCAAAUGUCAAUCUCUGAAAAUAGACUCAUCGAGAUAUCUCAA